Molecule: long non-coding RNA, 299 nt
Filed under: Phaseolus vulgaris (common bean)
Lineage: Eukaryota; Viridiplantae; Streptophyta; Magnoliopsida; Fabales; Fabaceae
Description: long non-coding RNA (PVUL_LNC005169)
Source: RNAcentral
GCGGUGAUGUAGUCACUGAGAACAUCGGAUGCCUUUGUUAACGGCGUACACGGCGGAGCGGAAGGCGUUGGCGUCAGGUGCGUGGAGGCGCGUGAGAGCAGAGGCUUUGACAGAAUCGGGUAAUGAGAGACCAAGGAGGGAAGAAGAGGCGCGGGAAUGAGCAAUGUGAAGUAUGGCAACUCCGGUGAAUGAACCGUCUCCCAGGACAAAUUGAGACUUCUGAGUUGUGCGUUCCGUUCACUAUGCAAUGCUGCGUCUGACAUUUUCGACUCUUCGGUUGGAGUGAAUAAUACUUCAAC